ACAACCACUAACGGUGGAUCCCUCGGCUCGGAGUUCGAUGAAGAACGUGGCAAAAUGCGAUAAUUGAUGCGAUAUGCAAGCCUAGUGAGUCAUCGAGUUUUUGAAUGCAAAUGGCACCGCUGAUUCGUUCAGUGGUAUAUCUGGUUGAGGGUUGUUUCUAGAUAUACAAUCUAGGUGAU
This 179-nucleotide ribosomal RNA is filed under the name Unicauda pelteobagrus. Its description in RNAcentral is "5.8S ribosomal RNA". The stretch from base 3 to 154 matches the Rfam family "5.8S ribosomal RNA". Rfam says of the family: 5.8S ribosomal RNA (5.8S rRNA) is a component of the large subunit of the eukaryotic ribosome. Lineage: Eukaryota; Metazoa; Cnidaria; Myxozoa; Bivalvulida; Myxobolidae. The record is from RNAcentral.